GGAUAAGCUAAUAAGGGCUAACGGCGGAUGCCUUGGCAUCAGGAGGCGAUGAAGGACGUGGUAAGCUGCGAUAAGCUUCGGGGAGUUGUUAACAUACUUUGAUCCGGAGAUUUCCGAAUGGGGAAACCCGGCAGGAUUUAUAUUCUGUCACCUCACACUGAAUACAUAGGUGUAGAGGAGCGAACGUGGGGAAUUGAAACAUCUAAGUACCUGCAGGAAAAGAAAUCAAUUGAGAUUCCGUGAGUAGCGGCGAGCGAAACCGGAACAGCCCGAAUUAGCGAUGUGGAUUCAAUAAUGUAUAGUGGAGAGGUAUGGAAAGGCCUACCAUAGACGGUGAUAGUCCGGUACACGAAAUGCAUUAUGACCUAGCUAGAAAGAGUACCACGGGACACGUGAAACCCUGUGGGAAUAUGGGAGGACCAUCUUCCAAGGCUAAAUACUACCUGAUGACCGAUAGUGAACUAGUACCGUGAGGGAAAGGUGAAAAGAACCCCGGGAGGGGAGUGAAAUAGAAACUGAAACCGUUAGCUUACAAGCAGUAGGAGCCCUAUGUCUUCGGACAGGGUGACUGCGUGCCUUUUGCAUAAUGAGUCAACGACUUACCGUGUGCAGCGAGGUUAAGCCGAGAGGUGCAGCCGAAGCGAAAGCGAGUCUUAAUAGGGCGCUUAGUUGUAUGCGGUAGACCCGAAGCCGGGUGAUCUAUCCAUGACCAGGGUGAAGUCUCGGUAACACGAGAUGGAGGCCCGAACCGAUAUAGGUUGAAAACUGUUCGGAUGAGUUGUGGAUCGGAGUGAAAGGCUAAUCAAACUCGGUGAUAGCUGGUUUUCUCCGAAAUAUAUUUAGGUAUAGCCUCACAUGAUGACUAACGGAGGUAGAGCACUGACAAGACUAGGGGGCCCACCGGCUUACCAACUCUUAUCAAACUCCGAAUGCCGUUAAGUUCAAAUGUGGGAGUCAGACUACGGGAGAUAAGUUCCGUGGUCGAGAGGGAAAGAGCCCAGACCGUCAGCUAAGGUCCCUAAACUACGCUAAGUGGGAAAGGAUGUGGAAUUGUACAUACAACCAGGAGGUUGGCUUAGAAGCAGCAACCCUUUAAAGAAAGCGUAAUAGCUCACUGGUCUAAUGAUACCGCGCCGAAAAUUUAACGGGGCUAAGCGUAGUACCGAAGCUACGGAUUGAAAUUUAUUUCGAUGGUAGGAGAACAUUGUGGCCGCCUGAGAAGGUACACCGGAAGGAGUGCUGGAGGUUCCACAAGAGCUUAUGUUGACACGAGUAGCGAAAAUGAGGGCGAGAAACCCUCACGCCGAAAGCCUAAGGUUUCCUGUAGUCAAGUUAAUCUGCUCAGGGUUAGUCGGUCCCUAAGGCGAGGCCGAGAGGCGUAGUCGAUGGGAAAUAGGUUAAUAUUCCUAUACCAGUAUCAUAAUGUUAUGGUAAGGGGGGACGGAGAAGGUAAGACCAUCCGGGCGCUGGUUGUCCCGGUUUAAGCAUGUAGGCGGAGGACUUUGGCAAAUCCGGGUCCUUGUUAACGUUGAGGUGUGAUGACGAUGCCCUUUGGGCAAUAAAGUGGUUGGUUCCAUGCUUCCAGGAAAAGCCUCGUAUCUAGUUAUGAUAUUGACCGUACCGUAAACCGACACAGGUAGGCAGGUAGAGAAUACCAAGGCGCUUGAGAGAACUCUGGUUAAGGAACUCGGCAAAAUAGCACCGUAACUUCGGGAGAAGGUGUGCCUGCGUGGUGAAAGUUAUUUACUAACUUGAGCCUAGUCAGGUUGCAGUGAAAUGGGGGGAGCGACUGUUUACUAAAAACACAGGACUCUGCGAAGUCGAAAGACGAAGUAUAGGGUCUGACGCCUGCCCGGUGCCGGAAGGUUAAGGGGACUUGUUAGCGUAAGCGAAGCAAUGAACCGAAGCCCCGGUAAACGGCGGCCGUAACUAUAACGGUCCUAAGGUAGCGAAAUUCCUUGUCGGGUAAGUUCCGACCUGCACGAAUGGCGUAACGAUUUCCCCACUGUCUCAACCAGAGACUCAGCGAAACUGUAGUACCGGUGAAGAUGCCGGUUACCCGCAACAAGACAGAAAGACCCCGUGAACCUUUACUAUAGCUUGGCAUUGGUUUUAGAGGUAACAUGUGUAGGAUAGGUGGGAGGCUUUGAAGCAUGCACGCUAGUGUGUGUGGAGCUAACCUUGAAAUACCACCCUUGUUAUCUUUGAAAUCUAACCGCGAUCCGUUACCCGGAUCCGGGACAUUGUCUGGUGGGUAGUUUGACUGGGGCGGUCGCCUCCUAAAGAGUAACGGAGGCGCGCGAUGGUUCCCUCAGGCUGAUUGGAAACCAGCCGUAGAGUGUAAAGGCAUAAGGGAGCUUGACUGCGAGACAGACAUGUCGAGCAGGUACGAAAGUAGGUCUUAGUGAUCCGGCGAUUCCGCAUGGAAGGGUCGUCGCUCAACGGAUAAAAGGUACUCCGGGGAUAACAGGCUUAUCUCCCCCAAGAGUCCAUAUCGACGGGGAGGUUUGGCACCUCGAUGUCGGCUCAUCACAUCCUGGGGCUGAAGCAGGUCCCAAGGGUUUGGCUGUUCGCCAAUUAAAGUGGUACGCGAGCUGGGUUUAAAACGUCGUGAGACAGUUUGGUCCUUAUCUGUUGCGGGCGCAGGAAAUUUGAGGAGAUCUUCCCCUAGUACGAGAGGACCGGGGUGGACGAACCUAUGGUGUACCAGUUGUUCCGCCAGGAGCAUCGCUGGGUAGCUAAGUUCGGAAGGGAUAACCGCUGAAAGCAUCUAAGCGGGAAGCCUACUCCAAGAUUAGAUUUCCCAUGAUUUAAAAUCAUCUGAAGGCUCGUUGUAGACCACAACGUUGAUAGGUCGGGUGUGGAAGAGUGGUAACACUUGGAGCUAACCGAUACUAAUAAGCCGUGCGGCUUAUCCAU
Desulfotalea psychrophila LSv54 is the source of this 2919-nucleotide ribosomal RNA. It matches the Rfam family "Bacterial large subunit ribosomal RNA". NCBI's taxonomy places the organism in Bacteria, Pseudomonadati, Thermodesulfobacteriota, Desulfobulbia, Desulfobulbales, Desulfocapsaceae. The record is from Rfam.